GAGCCGUUAGCUCAGCUAGGCAGAGCGUCAGACUUUUAAUCUGAGGGUCGUAGGUUCGAUUCCUACACGGCUCACCA
Molecule: transfer RNA, 77 nt
Filed under: Actinomycetota bacterium
Lineage: Bacteria; Bacillati; Actinomycetota
Also listed under: 2 other names
Description: tRNA-Lys
Rfam family: tRNA
About the family: Transfer RNA (tRNA) molecules are approximately 80 nucleotides in length.
Source: RNAcentral